Molecule: ribosomal RNA, 687 nt
Filed under: uncultured bacterium
Lineage: Bacteria
Description: bacterial SSU rRNA
Rfam family: Bacterial small subunit ribosomal RNA
Source: RNAcentral
GCGAAGGCAGCCCCCUGGGCCAAUACUGACGCUCAUGCACGAAAGCGUGGGUAGCAAACAGGAUUAGAUACCCUGGUAGUCCACGCCCUAAACGAUGUCAACUAGGUGUUGGGUGGGUAAAACCAUUUAGUACCGGAGCUAACGCGUGAAGUUGACCGCCUGGGGAGUACGGCCGCAAGGUUAAAACUCAAAGGAAUUGACGGGGACCCGCACAAGCGGUGGAUGAUGUGGAUUAAUUCGAUGCAACGCGAAAAACCUUACCUACCCUUGACAUGUCCAGAAGCUCUUAGAGAUUUGAGUGUGCCCGAAAGGGAACUGGAACACAGGUGCUGCAUGGCUGUCGUCAGCUCGUGUCGUGAGAUGUUGGGUUAAGUCCCGCAACGAGCGCAACCCUUGUCGUUAAUUGCCAUCAUUCAGUUGGGCACUUUAACGAGACUGCCGGUGACAAACCGGAGGAAGGUGGGGAUGACGUCAAGUCCUCAUGGCCCUUAUGGGUAGGGCUUCACACGUCAUACAAUGGUCGGUACAAAGGGUUGCCAACCCGCGAGGGGGAGCUAAUCCCAGAAAGCCGAUCGUAGUCCGGAUCGUAGGCUGCAACUCGCCUGCGUGAAGUCGGAAUCGCUAGUAAUCGUGGAUCAGCAUGUCACGGUGAAUACGCUCCCGGGUCUUGUACACACCGCCCGUCAC